This 308-nucleotide ribosomal RNA is filed under the name uncultured bacterium. RNAcentral's name for it is "partial 16S ribosomal RNA". It matches the Rfam family "Bacterial small subunit ribosomal RNA", at positions 505 to 807 of the family's 1533-position model. The record is from RNAcentral.
GAGACAGCAGCCGCCACGGUAAUACGGAGGAUCCAAGCGUUAUCCGGAAUCAUUGGGUUUAAAGGGUCCGUAGGCGGUCUUGUAAGUCAGUGGUGAAAGCCCAUCGCUCAACGGUGGAACGGCCAUUGAUACUGCAGGACUUGAAUUAUUGGGAAGUAACUAGAAUAUGUAGUGUAGCGGUGAAAUGCUUAGAGAUUACAUGGAAUACCAAUUGCGAAGGCAGGUUACUACCAAUUGAUUGACGCUGAUGGACGAAAGCGUGGGUAGCGAACAGGAUUAGAUACCCGUGUAGUCCCUGUCUCUUAUAC